AUUGAACGCUGGCGGCAUGCCUUACACAUGCAAGUCGAACGCGAAAGGGGGGCAACUCCUGAGUAGAGUGGCGCACGGGUGAGUAAUGCAUCGGAACGUGUCCUGUAGCGGGGGAUAACCUAGCGAAAGCUAGGCUAAUACCGCAUACGUCCUACGGGAGAAAGUGGGGGAUCGUAAGACCUCACACUAUAGGAGCGGCCGAUGCCGGAUUAGCUAGUUGGUGGGGUAAAAGCCUACCAAGGCGACGAUCCGUAGCUGGGCUGAGAGGAUGAUCAGCUAAACUAGGAGUGAGACACAGCCCAGACGCCUACGGGAGGCAGCAGUGGGGAAUUUUGGACAAUGGGGGAAACCCUGAUCCAGCCAUGCCGCGUGGGUGAAGAAGGCCUUCGGGUUGUAAAGCUCUUUCGGCCGGGACGAAAUCGCACGCGUGAAUAUCGCGUGUGGAUGACGGUACCGGAAGAAGAAGGACCGGCUAACUACGUGCCAGCAGCCGCGGUAA
This 499-nucleotide ribosomal RNA is filed under the name uncultured bacterium. RNAcentral describes it as "partial 16S ribosomal RNA". It matches the Rfam family "Bacterial small subunit ribosomal RNA", at positions 29 to 523 of the family's 1533-position model. The record is from RNAcentral.